Molecule: RNA transcript, 1326 nt
Organism: Nyctereutes procyonoides (raccoon dog)
Lineage: Eukaryota; Metazoa; Chordata; Mammalia; Carnivora; Canidae
Gene: PAQR3
Gene name: progestin and adipoQ receptor family member 3
Exons: 8
Source: RefSeq, a predicted model, not a curated record
GCCGGGCCGGGGCGGCGGCUGGACCGCAGGACCUCGCGCGGCGUUCGCGGGCUCCGGGGCGGCGGCGGAGCCCCCUCCCCGGGGAGGCGGGGCCCGGGCGAGCUCCCCGGCGGGGGGAGCGGCGGCGGCGCGGAACGAUGCAUCAGAAGCUGCUGAAGAGCGCGCAUUACAUCGAGCUGGGGAGCUACCAGUACUGGCCCGUCCUGGUGCCCCGCGGCAUCCGCCUCUACACCUACGAGCAGAUCCCCGUGUCCCUCAAGGACAACCCGUACAUCACCGACGGCUACCGGGCCUACCUGCCCUCCAGGCUGUGUAUCAAAAGUUUGUUUAUUUUAUCUAAUGAGACCGUAAACAUCUGGAGUCAUUUGCUGGGUUUCUUCCUCUUCUUUACACUGGGAAUAUAUGACAUGACGUCAGUGUUACCUUCGGCAAGUGCGUCCAGAGAAGAUUUUGUAAUUUGUUCUAUUUGUCUUUUCUGCUUCCAGGUCUGUAUGCUUUGCUCUGUGGGCUAUCAUCUUUUUUCUUGCCAUCGAUCAGAAAAAACCUGUCGAAGAUGGAUGGCUUUAGAUUAUGCAGGAAUUUCUAUUGGAAUACUGGGCUGCUAUGUCUCUGGGGUGUUUUAUGCAUUUUACUGUAAUAAUUAUUGGCGCCAAGUGUACUUGAUCACAGUGCUUGCUAUGAUCCUAGCGGUGUUCUUUGCACAGAUCCAUCCCAAUUACCUCACACAGCAGUGGCAGAGGCUCCGUUCUAUCAUCUUCUGUUCUGUGUCAGGAUAUGGAGUGAUCCCCACUCUUCACUGGGUUUGGCUCAAUGGAGGAAUCGGUGCUCCUAUUGUACAGGACUUUGCACCCCGUGUAAUUGUGAUGUAUGUGAUUGCUCUUCUUGCUUUCCUAUUCUACAUUUCCAAAGUUCCUGAACGGUAUUUUCCAGGACAACUAAACUACCUCGGAUCAAGCCACCAAAUAUGGCAUAUCCUUGCAGUAGUGAUGUUAUAUUGGUGGCACCAGUCAACAGUGUAUGUCAUGCAGUACAGACAUAGCAAGCCUUGCCCUGACUAUGUUUCACAUUUGUGAAUUCAGAAUCAGGAAUGAAGAUUCAGGGAGUAUCUGUCAUCUUAUGGCAUCCCACCUGGACAAAGUAACCGAUUUGAAGAUUGUGAUUGACUGGCAUAGAGCUGUGCAACACCAUUUGGCAGGAGUUAACGCCAAGAGUCUGUCAGAAGUAUCUACUGUUUAGAAGGAAAUGGAGCAGCACCAAAUGGGUCUAAUUCAACUGACUGGGACUGUUGGGACUGAUGUGAAGUGAUGCUUUGCACCACAAGUUCUG